AAUCUUCUUUAGAUUUUAUGGCACAAGAAUUAAAGAAGAAAAAAGAAACAUCAAGGGAGAAGGAUUUCUUCUCAUAUCCAAAGUCCUCAUUGGAAUUCUACUUAAAGAAUGAAAUCGAUUUCUAGUUAAAGAAGGGAUUUGAUUUCUAUUUAAAGAAGGAAUUUGAUCUCUACUUAAAGGACUUUGAUUUCUACUUAAAGGAGGAUUUUUUUAGCAUCUU
Molecule: long non-coding RNA, 220 nt
Filed under: Carica papaya (papaya)
Lineage: Eukaryota; Viridiplantae; Streptophyta; Magnoliopsida; Brassicales; Caricaceae
Description: long non-coding RNA (CPAP_LNC003886)
Source: RNAcentral